RNAcentral lists this ribosomal RNA (492 nucleotides) under uncultured bacterium. RNAcentral describes it as "partial 16S ribosomal RNA". It matches the Rfam family "Bacterial small subunit ribosomal RNA", at positions 29 to 507 of the family's 1533-position model. The record is from RNAcentral.
AGUGAACGCUGGCGGUAGGCCUAACACAUGCAAGUCGAACGGCAGCACAGUAAGAGCUUGCUCUUACGGGUGGCGAGUGGCGGACGGGUGAGGAAUACAUCGGAAUCUACUUUUUCGUGGGGGAUAACGUAGGGAAACUUACGCUAAUACCGCAUACGACCUACGGGUGAAAGCAGGGGAUCUUCGGACCUUGCGCGGUUGAAUGAGCCGAUGUCGGAUUAGCUAGUUGGGGGGGUAAAGGCCCACCAAGGCGACGAUCCGUAGCUGGUCUGAGUGGAUGAUCAGCCACACUGGAACUGAGACACGGUCCAGACUCCUACGGGAGGCAGCAGUGGGGAAUAUUGGACAAUGGGCGCAAGCCUGAUCCAGCCAUACCGCGUGGGUGAAGAAGGCCUUCGGGUUGUAAAGCCCUUUUGUUGGGAAAGAAAAGCAGCAGGUUAAUACCCCGCUGUUCUGACGGUACCCAAAGAAUAAGCACCGGCUAACUUCGUG